This 467-nucleotide ribosomal RNA is filed under the name uncultured bacterium. RNAcentral's name for it is "bacterial SSU rRNA". It matches the Rfam family "Bacterial small subunit ribosomal RNA", at positions 32 to 529 of the family's 1533-position model. The record is from RNAcentral.
AUAACGCUGGCGGCGUGCCUAACACAUGCAAGUCGCACGCGCUUCGCAAGAAGCGAGUGGCGGACGGGUGAGUAACACGUGGGAACCUACCUUGAGGUGAGGGAUACCGGCGAGAAAUCGCCGACAAGCCCGCAUGCGCUUCCUUCUUGGGAAGCAAAGCUCUGUUUAGAGCGCCACAGGAUGGGCCCGCGGCCGAUUAGCUAGUUGGUGGGGUAAGCGCUCACCAAGGCGUCGAUCGGUAGCUGGUCUGAGAGGACGAUCAGCCACACUGGGAUUGAGAACGGCCCAGACUCCUACGGGGGGCAGCAGUGAGGAAUUUUCCGCAAUGGACGCAAGUCUGACGGAGCAACGCCGCGUGCAGGAAGACGGCCUUCGGGUUGUAAACUGCUUUUCUGUGGGAAGAGAACGGACGGUACCACAGGAACAAGCCCCGGCUGACUACGUGCCAGCAGCCGCGGUAAUACGUA